GUAAAUUCCAUCAGCGUGCCUGUAGGAGGACAAGACAGCCUGAACUGUGCACGAGGAGGACGGAGCAGGGGUGCAGACCCACACCUCACCCUUUCUUACCCACGUGUAUGACCAACAGUGCUUCUGUACAGAACUUCAAAACCCUUAGAGCUUCCUGAGAGACAGGAGUGUCUUCAUUACGCUAAUGAGUGGGGAAUUGAGAAGUUUGGAUCAGAGGAGUGAGGAGAAGAAAGUCGUGCCACAGAAAUGGAUCUACAAUAAGCAGGUGAAUCG
This is a long non-coding RNA of Myotis brandtii (Brandt's bat), 273 nucleotides long. RefSeq lists it as uncharacterized. The record is from RefSeq and is a predicted model, not a curated record. The transcript has 3 exons. NCBI's taxonomy places the organism in Eukaryota, Metazoa, Chordata, Mammalia, Chiroptera, Vespertilionidae.